GCAAGGAUCAGUGUAUCUCCUGCACCCCUGGUAAAUACUGCAGCUCCUCUGGGCUGGACAUCCCUACGGGCAACUGUUAUUAGCCAGCUCAGCUCCUGCAAAGUCUACUCAAAUGUCCUGUUGAAUAAUAUAGGCUUGUUUUCUAAUGCUAAUCUCUCAGAUUUUGCAGUUACGUGUGCAGCCAAGGUGCCUCGCUCUCAGAGCCAAUUGGAGAUUCCACAGGAGGCAGAUGCACAGCUGGUUUCUAUUGCCCAGCGGGUGCCAGCCAUAUGGAGCCCUGUCCUCUGGGCACAUUUGGCUCAUUAGAAGGUCUUAUUCCAACAUAUGUAACACAGUCACGCUGUUAAAUAAGGAUGAAUGAAACUAACAUUGUGGGUGUUUGAAUGGGAGCAGCAUCUGUAGAGAUGUGUCAGUCGUGCACACCCGGACAAUACUGUGCAGAACCUGGGCUGAAUUCACCCUCUGGACCCUGUAGUUAUGGAUACUACUGUAUUCAAUAAUCACAUACCCCUAAGCCUCAGUAUUUUAACAGCACAGGUCAUUUUCUCCACCUACCGUGGUUUCUGACCAUGGCAAUAAGUAUAAGCAGUGUAACGGUAAUGAACUGAUUUUUUUUUUAGAUUGUGAAGAACCUGGGGCUUGUUCAAUGGAAGAGGUCCUUUCUCAGAUUCAGUUCAUUGGGGAUGUCUGUCCUGCAGCUCACUACUGCCCAGUUGGCAGUGCACAACCAGAACCCUGUCCGCCAGGCUCUUUCCUGAGCCACCGUGGUGCUGUAUCUGAGACAGACCAUCAUCCAUGUACCUCUGGAGUCAGAGCUCUGCAGAGCUUCGCUGUCCUGAGGGCAGUUUCUGUCCAGCCGGUUCUGUAACAGGACAUCAUUCCGGUAGGAUGUAAUACUGACAAGGCAGAAAUCCAUAUUGUCCUCUGGGCAUCAGUUAAACUAGGGUACUAGAUAUACAGAGCACUGAGCGGGUUUCAUAAAUAGAGAGAGACGGUGUCUACUUCCUCCUGCCAUUUAUCUUUGUGACUAACCAUGGCAUCUCUACAGGGUUGCCCUAGUGCUGUCUGAAUUAUUUAGUACUGUUGGCAUGAGAUGUCUAGACAUCAUCUGUUUAUAUACUGCCAGUCUCUUACCUUUAUGAUCUGUCUGUUCAGACUGUCAGUGUCCGUCUGGUCACUCGUGUCCGUGUGGCAGCGUCCAGCCUGCCAUCUGUCUGCCUGAUACUUAUCAGCCUCUGCCAUCCCAGCCUUCCUGUCAACCUUGCCCACCAGGUAAAUAGUAUAUUGAUACUUUGGAGUCUCUCAAAGCCUGUUAAAAAAAUGUUGGGGUCAUAAUUCACUG
Molecule: long non-coding RNA, 1342 nt
Organism: Cyprinus carpio (common carp)
Lineage: Eukaryota; Metazoa; Chordata; Actinopteri; Cypriniformes; Cyprinidae
Source: Ensembl